This 71-nucleotide transfer RNA is filed under the name Stegodyphus mimosarum. It matches the Rfam family "tRNA". From Rfam's summary of the family: Transfer RNA (tRNA) molecules are approximately 80 nucleotides in length. The record is from Rfam by way of RNAcentral. Lineage: Eukaryota; Metazoa; Arthropoda; Arachnida; Araneae; Eresidae.
GCUUUCGUGGUGUAAUGGUAGAACACUCGGUGCGUAUUCUAGAGGUCCAGGUUAGAAUCCUGACGAGAGCA